Molecule: ribosomal RNA, 402 nt
Filed under: uncultured bacterium
Lineage: Bacteria
Description: bacterial SSU rRNA
Rfam family: Bacterial small subunit ribosomal RNA
Source: RNAcentral
UGGGGAAUAUUGCACAAUGGGGGAAACCCUGAUGCAGCGACGCCGCGUGAGCGAAGACGGUUUUCGGACUGUAAAGCUCUGUCAACGGGGACGAUAAUGACGGUACCCGUGGAGGAAGCCACGGCUAACUACGUGCCAGCAGCCGCGGUAAUACGUAGGUGGCAAGCGUUGUCCGGAAUUACUGGGUGUAAAGGGAGCGUAGGCGGGAAGCUAAGUUGGAUGUGUAAUACCGGGGCUCAACUCCGGGGCUGCAUCCAAAACUGGUUUUCUUGAGUGAAGUAGAGGCAGGCGGAAUUCCUAGUGUAGCGGUGAAAUGCGUAGAUAUUAGGAGGAACACCAGUGGCGAAGGCGGCCUGCUGGGCUUUAACUGACGCUGAGGCUCGAAAGCGUGGGGAGCAAACA